Molecule: long non-coding RNA, 1414 nt
Filed under: Equus caballus (horse)
Lineage: Eukaryota; Metazoa; Chordata; Mammalia; Perissodactyla; Equidae
Description: lncRNA (ENSECAG00000057827.1)
Source: RNAcentral
GUUUAAAGCCAGUGUCUUGGAAUUGCUGACGUGCUUGGGUGUUUCCUUGCCCCCAUGCACAGUGACUUCAGUGAGCAGGUGCAGGGCCCUCUGGGGAUGGUGUGGAAGUGGAUUUAUGGUAUUACUUGCGGCAAUGCUUCAGGGUCCUUCCUCAGGAGACCCCCCCCACCACCACAGGGUGCUGGGGAGUGGGACCGACUGGAGGAGGUCUGCAGGAAGCAGCGCACGGGUGGCGGGGAAACUCACUGAAGAGCCUCGGGCAUGCCCAGCGCCGGCAGCUGCAGCACAGGAGGAGGAAAGCGUGCUGGAGCCAGAGAGGGAAGCCCCCUCCUCUGCUGGGCCUGGUGGUGUCGCCCCAAUGCUCUACUGACGAAGCCACCAUUGGGCUGGCAAAGAGAGAUGUGUGCAGGGUCUGGCUCCAUCAUCACAAGCCAGCUGAAGAAGGUGAGUCCCCGGAGGGCCUUUACUUAGUGAUGUUCCGUGACUUCUGAGACCAGGUCAUCAAAGGUGACACUUGGGAUGUCUUUUGGGAUGCUCGCUCUUGGAACUCAGCGAUCAAGUCAGAGGAGCCAGGCAGCCCCUGGGGAGGCCUGCAUGGAGAGGAGCUGCCAGCCAGCACCACCUGCCCCCAUCUGAUGCUGUCGAGAAGGAGAAACUGACAGCAUGCCACAAGUGUCGCCUGGAAAUCAGUUAGCUCAGGAGCUGACAACAGGCUGUACUUUAACCAUUCUCUCUGCUGCCCCACUCUGACCGCAAGGCUGGGCCACCUCCCGGGAUGGCUGGGCUCACGAGGAGCCUCCUCCCCCUCGCUGGGCUGGGUGUCCCACCCUCUCCAGGGAGAAGGCAGCUGGUGGCUCCAAUUCCUGGCAAAGCUCUGGCGUCAAGCUCGCAGGCCGCUCCCCAGGAAGGAAGGAAUGUGAUUAAAAAGAGCUUCCUGUCCCGAGACUGGACUCGCCAUUGCACACAGGCCCGCACACACGUGCACUCCGUGUCCCACAUGGACAAGUGGCGGCUGGGCCAUGACCCCCAGGUGAACACGUCUUUGCUGCAGAAUUUGGGGAGCUUCCCACGUGCUGGAACGCGUCGUCAGCACUGAGCUGGGGACUGGAUGCUUCUCACGUGGUCCUGUGCCAGAAACUCCUGCCCUGGGAGAGACCUUCAAGCCUCGGCAGCCCUGUGUGGUGGUUCCAGGUGACCCGCUGAGCAGAGCCCCGCUGAGCCGAGCCCCACCGAGCAGGACGACCCCACGAGACGCCACCUCCCCAAGGAAGCUCCCAUCCCUUCUCUCCUUGGCUGGACAGCUGUCCCCACACACUUGUCCCCACCUGGUGGUCCCUGCACAGCCGUCCCUUGCCUGUGGGCUGACACAGCCAUGUGGUGCAGCUGGUCUCUCUCUUCCAGCCCUGCACCGGGG